GCAAAACUCAAAUACUUCCCUCUUUCUAUUUCCAGACGCGCGAAUAUCUGACAACCGUACAUCAAGAACAACGGAGAAAGCCUCGAACCCCAACAGAUUCCGUAGGAUUUGAGGUGGAGCUUCAGAUCUCGAUCCGGAAAUGCGACGAUGGCGUGAAAGAAAAUGAAGAUUUCAGAUCUCUCGUCUGGAUUCUAAACCCUAGAUACCAAGAUGUCUAACAAUGUUAAGGAGUCCAAAGGUGAAGUACACAAGGGCAUGGAUGUUGCCGUAUCAUCUGCAGAAGUCCAAACAACCUGGCACGUCACCCUCUCAAACAUCCUACAGCAGGCAUCAGUAUAUGGAAUAGCUGCUGGGUACUGCAUUUCAGCAUCACUCUUGUCCAUAAUCAACAAGUGGGCCAUCAUGGUAUUCCCUUAUCCUGGGGCCUUGACAGCUCUACAAUACUUCACAAGUGCAUUUGGUGUCCUGUUAUGUGGAUGGUUGAAGCUCGCGGAGCAUGAUCCACUCGAGCUAAAGACCAUGUGGAGGUUCCUACCUGCAGCAAUCAUUUUCUACCUCUCCCUCUUCACAAACAGCGAGCUCCUGCUCCAUGCAAAUGUUGACACCUUCAUCGUUUUCCGCUCAGCAGUCCCUAUAUUUGUAGCUGUAGGAGAAACUGUCUACCUAAACCAGCCUUGGCCAUCUCUCAAGACAUGGCUUUCGCUUGCCACCAUAUUUGGGGGUAGCGUCAUUUACGUGCUGACAGACACUCGGUUCACAUUGAUGGCAUACAGUUGGGCUUUGGCUUAUCUUGUGAGCAUGUCGAUAGAUUUCGUUUAUAUAAAGCAUGUGGUGAUGACUAUCGGCCUGAACACAUGGGGUUUGGUGCUUUACAACAACCUUGAGGCUCUUUUUCUAUUCCCACUGGAGCUGCUUAUAAUGGGCGAGCUGAAGAAGAUAAAGCACGAUAUCAAGGACGACUCAUCUUGGCAUUCUUUGGGCGUGGUUUUUCCAGUGGGUUUGUCCUGCUUGUUUGGUUUGGCCAUCUCCUUUUUUGGGUUCUCUUGCAGACGGGCGAUUUCUGCAACGGGCUUUACUGUGCUCGGUAUAGUCAAUAAGCUCUUGACUGUUGUGAUAAAUCUACUCAUCUGGGACAAGCAUUCUACCAUUGUGGGGACUGUUGGUCUUUUGAUAUGCAUGCUUGGUGGGGUUCUUUAUCAGCAGUCCGCAACCAAACCAAAGGCCGCUGCUGAAACAGAAGUGGUGGCAAGAGUUGGUGAUGAGGAGCAACAGCAACUUCUGGAAAUGGAAUCCACAUCAGAAGCAAACACUACUGAAAAGCCUGUUGGUUGAUUCAGUAGAGGUGGUUCUCACUGUGGAAGAUUGCAGAGGCAAUUUCACCUGCUGGAUUCCUGCUAGAAGAUACUGAAAGUGGCUAAUUGGAAGCUGUGCACUUUGUGGCCACUUGUCAGGUGGGAACACAGAGAACAUGCCCCGGCCCAAAAAUCAGGCUGCUUUUCUUGUCAGUCACCUGUUCGAUGGUCAAGAUAAUUAAUCAGUGCAAUUUCAUGUUAUACUCUGUCUGCGAUGGUCCCUGCAAUUUGAUGGCAUCGAUCAGAGUGCAAGUAUACCAAUGUACAGACGGUUCCUACAAUUAUCAUCAAUAGGCACAGAUAGCCUACCAUCUAGUAAGUUGGAUGGCCAUUGAAUGGAUGGUUAGAAGGGUUGAAAUCAGUUCAGGAGCUGUGGUUUUGGAGCUUUGAUUAGAGCCUACAAUCUCGACAGUCUGCAUUAGUGUGGAUGCACCAGUAAAUUGAGCUAGUGGGGUGGCUGUUGCAGCAAUUUUCAGCUUCUUCCUGAAUGGCAACGACCCAUCUGCCUAUCAUUCGAAUGACACAUUCAAUCCUCACAACCUGAACAAAAUGAUAGACUCUGCGAGGAUCAAAUCGAAUUCCUUCAGCACUUAAGAGCUGAGAAUCUGCAAGACAGGCUUCUUC
Molecule: RNA transcript, 1976 nt
Organism: Magnolia sinica
Lineage: Eukaryota; Viridiplantae; Streptophyta; Magnoliopsida; Magnoliales; Magnoliaceae
Gene name: GDP-mannose transporter GONST3-like
Exons: 4
Source: RefSeq, a predicted model, not a curated record